This 700-nucleotide unclassified non-coding RNA is filed under the name Hevea brasiliensis (rubber tree). Lineage: Eukaryota; Viridiplantae; Streptophyta; Magnoliopsida; Malpighiales; Euphorbiaceae. The record is from RNAcentral.
GAUUAUGCUCUAUAAAUCACAUAAAAUUGAACUUCACUUCAUGUCAACUACAGAACAAUAAGUUUCAUCAAUCCUCUGGGAAACCUAAAUAUCUAUAUAUAAGUUCAGCAACUGGUUUCGCGUCACCUGGUUGAUAUGGAACAAGAGACCCUGGAUCCAUAUCCGAUAUAGUCUUGUAUAAUGUUUGUGGACGAGCACAAUACAAAUGUUUUCUCUCAGCCAGUUCUUCUGCGAGCUCGCUUUGAUGGUUGUCCAUUAGAUCCUCAUUGACUACCACUAUUAACGGUUUGCCCAGUCGUAAUGUCUCAAAUAUGCUCCCUGAACCUGCGUGGCUGAUAACAAGUGAUGCUGACUUCAAAUAGUCAGCUAUGCUUGAUGAAUAUGUGAAGUAAUCCAGAGCUGGAGAACCAUUUUCAGCAGUCGACUUUGUGGGGAUAUACAAUCCUCGCCCCAUUUGAAUAAGAAUAUCAGUGUAACCUUUCUUGAACAGUUCUUUCUUCACUUCCGGGGUAUCCACCGCUCUUACAAGAGCAUCAAAAGAAGUUGUCCCCACGGUCACAAAAACUACUCUCUUCUCCUUCGCAAUAUCAUCUAUAUCACCCAUUUAGAAUUUCCAAAUUACAUUCAACAAUUCAAAUCUUUUCCGGUGGAGCGAACUGAGACGACGAGUGAGAAGAGAGCUCGGUGGCCGGCAAUUGAG